RNAcentral lists this long non-coding RNA (22345 nucleotides) under Ananas comosus (pineapple). RNAcentral's name for it is "long non-coding RNA (ACOM_LNC019358)". The record is from RNAcentral. Lineage: Eukaryota; Viridiplantae; Streptophyta; Magnoliopsida; Poales; Bromeliaceae.
UAAUCAAUCUUUCAAUUUAUUUGAUUUGAGUCGGUCAACGACACUCUGACUUCAAAUUUUGAAUGCAUCGUUCAUAUUUACAAGUUUAAUUAGUAUAUAUUUCGUACAAUUCUCGCAACUAUAAAUUCAUUAAAGUAAACAAUUAACUUAAAUUUUGAAGUCAAAAUACCGUUGACUAACUCAAAUCAGAUAAAUUGAAAGGUUGAGUAGUAAAAUCAAAAUUUUAAAAGAUUGGAUAGUCGAUUCAAAAUUGUACAUAGUUAAAGUAAGUUCCAUAGGUUGUUGCAGGCAAUUUAUCACAAAUGACUGUCAAGCAAUUUAUCACAAAUGACUGUCGCUGUAAGCAGAAGCAGAUAGCUUAGCAAAUCAAGUAAGAGGCCAAACAGGCCCUAAAAUCAAAAAACAUCAGAGCAGGUAAGGAAUAAGAGAGAAAAGAAGACCUGAUCUGCACGGGAAGGGAUGAGCCGCCCACAAGCGGCUCGUACCGGUUCAGCAUGGGCCGGUUAGGGCUGAGGACCCGCGAACCGGGCGACGACGAGAACACGUCCCGAUCGAACCUCUUCGGCGUGGAGCAACCCGACGACUCGCUCCCGGGGAAGAUGUCGCUGAAGAAAUCCUCCCCCAGAUGCCGCCUCCUCGCGAGGCUACUCACAUCCCCGAACACGGGCUUCUCCCCCGCACCCUCCGAUCCCCGGAACCCUAACCCUAAACCUAACCCUAGCCGCUCCUCCUCCUCCUCCUCCUCCUCCCCGCCCUCCGCCACGACGCCCCGAACCCUAACCCUCGCCCACGAAUCCAGCGAGUCCGCGCGGCUCCGGAGAGCUUCGCCAUGGCGGGAUCGGAGGCUGGAUUCGGAGGGGAAGGCGGAGGAUUAGGGCAUCGGAGGGGCCGAAUUCGUCGAACUGGGAGGGGGACGGGGGAUUAGGGGGAAGGGGAAGAGGACAGGGGAGUUUGGGGGAUGGGACCGGGGGAGAGUAGGGUUGUGGAUGGAGCGAAAGCGACGGGCCCAAAAAUUUUCCGUGAAACGAGUGCGCCACGUCAGCUAUGAACUGGAACAGCAUGUUUAAUUCGGGUUGCAAUCCCCCGGAUCCGGAAUUUGAUUUACGCCUGUACUUUCAGAAAACGACUAAUGCAUUUUGAUUCUUGAUUUUUUUUUUUUUUUUUGGGAGAAAAGUAUGUGCUAUUUUUUAAAAAAAUAAAUAAAUAAAUUUAGCAAAAAAAAUAUAAACCAGCUAAGUUUUAAAUUUGAAAUUUUGCAUGUCAACUAUUAAGUUCUUCGUCACCGAUUAUUGGACGGUAAAAGCGAUUAGAAGAAGAGGAGGGAGUUAGAGUCUAUUUAUUUUAUUGGAAUUUCUGAGGUGAAUUCUAAGUAUCUUAAGAAAAUGAGAGUUUCUUGUGCUUGGAUCGCAAAUGAACUGGAAAAAACUUGUGAAUGGGGCUCAUCUACUAAGUGCGACUUUCUCUUGAGUAAAAACGAAAUCGAGGUUUUUUAAUUUUAGGGAAGGACUUAAACGCACACUGUAUUUGUCAUUUACAAAACAACCCCUUGGUUGGGGUAGAAGUUUAUGCAGGCAAACUCCGAAAACAAGAAACCAAAGGUAGUUUUUUAUAGAGAAAACUUCAAAAAUUCUCUACGUGGUUUCGCUUUUUUUUUUAUUUUAGUAUCAUGUGGUUUAAAGUGUAUGAAGUUAGUACCUUAUGUUUUCGCACUUUCUCACUUUAAUACUCUAUAGUUUAUAGUGUAUCAAGUUAGUACUCUAUGAUUUUAUUUUUGUAUCAAGUUAAUAUCAUAUGGUUUUAUUUUUGUAUCAAAUUAGUACCUUGUGGUUUUAUUUUUUUCCUAAUAAAAUAUUAAACCACAGGGUACUAAAGUAAAAAAGUGCAAAAUUACAGGGUACUAACUUGAUACACUUUAAACCACAGGAUACUAAAGUGAGAAAAUGCGAAACCACGGGAUACUAACUUAAUACACUUUACACCACAGGGUACUAAAGUGAGAAAGAGCGAAACCACAAGGGGGUAUUCAAAGUUUUCCCUUUUUAUAAUAUGUAGCACACUCUGUCUCGUCAAAAUUAGCAAUUUUGAACUGCUAAACAUUUUUUUUUUCUGAUAAAUCGCUUGCAUAUCUACAAUGGCAUAGUACAUAUAGGGGCUUUUUAGCAUUUAGCUUGUCUCUUUUUUUUUUUGGGAAAACUUCAAAAACCCCCCUUGUGGUUUCAAUUUUUUUCACUUUAAUAUCCUGUGGUUUAAAAUGUAUCAAGUUAGUACCCCGUGGUUUCUCACUUUAUCACUUAAGUACCCUGUGGUUUAAAGUGUAUCAAGUUAGUACCUGUGGUUUUGCACUUUAUCACUUUAGUACCAUGUGGUUUUAAUUUUGUAUCAAGUUAGUACCCUAUAGUUUUUUAAAUCACAAGGUACUAAAGUGAUAAAGUGUGAAACCACAGGGUACUAAAGUGAUAAAGUGCAAAACCACAGGGUACUAGCUUGAUACAUUUUAAACCACAGGGUACUAAAGUGAUAAAGUGAGAAACCACAGGGUACUAACUUGAUACACUUCAAACCACAGGGUACUAAAAUGAAAAAGUGUGAAACCACAGGGGGGGUUUUUGAAGUUUUCCUCUUUUUUUUUUUUUUCAAAUAACUCCUACUUUGUAUUGGUAUGAAUGUCUUACUUCUUACCAUGUAAUAUGUUAAGAAUUUCAAAUUCAACAUGAUAAUUUAUUUAUCGUGUUUAAAUACGAUAAAUAGAUUACCGUGUUCUAUUAGCCUUAACAGCCCAUAAAUUAUCAUAUUAUUUUUGCCUUAACAACAAGUUGACUAAGUUAAAAAGAAUACGGCACGAUAAAUAAUUUACUGUAUUCAAUUUGUCUUUCCAGGAUGACGCCCAUAUGGCAAGAAAAGUGCCAUUCGUGGAAAUGUAAAUUUGCGAAAAUUAUUCCAAAAAAUAUUUUAAGGGCUGGUUAAAUGCAAAAAAGCACACAUAUAGUGUUUCAAUCGACAUUUUCAGAAUAAAUUGAUUCCUAAAUGAAAUUAUUUAUCCUAAAAUAUAAUCACUAUCAAGACUUCACAAUGCAUGCAGCUUAAAAUCGACCCUCAAAUUUAGCUCGAGGCGGCCUUUUUGGUUUGACAUUGACAUAGUGAUAAAUGCAAUGUAACUAGAUAUGACUGCAGCAAUUUAACAUCAUUUUGAAUAUUUAGUUGGGACCGACGUUACCACAAAUUUGUUGCUUCGUUGCUUCUUGUGAAAAGAAGCACCACAAAUAAGACUUUUUAACUCCAAAAUUGGAAGUUUACAUAUGAAUUGAUAGGAAGGAAAAUUAAGCCCGAUUAACCCCUUUAACAAAUUACAUUUUCUGCCUACUGCAUUUUUUUUUUUUAAUUUCCUUGUGUGGAUCAGAUUUACCCUAAUGCAGAAUUGCACUCUUGAGCUGCCGCAAUUUCAACUAUAUUUUAAACCUACGCGUAGGUUGAACCAUAACCGGUAAACCAAAGAAAAACCAUAUGAUUUACUUUUACUAAACAGUUGCGACACCAACCACAUUAAAACGCAGCUACACAACAGCACCUAAACAAUUAGCCCAUUCUAAUACCAAACGCCAAACCCCGUACGGGGUAGAAACUAUUUACUCCCUGAUCAGUUAAUCCCGAAAAUGAACUACGCAAGUAUAUACGAUAUACUUGAAAAAAAAACUAACCUAUUAUCAACAUAACCAAACUCGAUCAACAUCACCAAAAUCUAGGAAUCUCAUCCCCGAAUAAGCACCAUAGUUUAUGUCCUCGCUGCAACUGAAAAAAAAGCAGGAUGAUGCUCUCCCAUUUGUCCCUAACUGAGCAUUCACCAUAAAAAAUCCUUAAGGGGCAUUCUUUCACAUUUCAGGACAAGCUACCCACCACAUUUAUAUAAUUGAUGUCUAACAAUGUUCAGUACUGGUCAGAACACAUAGCAGACAUAUCCCAUACGAAAGCACAGUAAAACACUUCGGCUUUCAGCCGUCAUAAUCUCCCUGCGCAAACUUGCUCUCCGGAUAAAAGACGGCGCUGACUGAGUUCCCACCGAAUUUCCGACCGUGCAGCCCUUGCCUAGCUUUGGUCGAUCCUUCAGUAUCUGCAUACUCCAAAAAUACCUGACAGCAAAAAAAAAAAAAAAAAAAAAAAAAAAGGUAUCCAAAAUUGAGGGGGAUUAAAAAUCAAAAAAAGGGUCAACUUCAACUGGUCAAAUAAUGGAGAGGGAUAAAUUUUUAUAUUUUAAACAUGAGAAGAAAAUAUUUGAUAACUGAAAUUUUUGAGUCACAAAUCCGCAAGCUCACUAAUUUGCAAGGAUAUAGAGGCAAUUUUCCUAAUAAUAAUAUACUGACCUUUCCAACUCCCGGAACUGGCUCACCAUUUGGACUGGGGCGAGGUAUCACGACAUUCACCAAGUUACCUGCAAAUUUAAACAAGCUUUGGCGCUUAGAAAAGAAAUGGAAAGAAAUGAUUACAUGAGGUUACAAGAGUGAAAGAGAUCGCAUCAUCUUCAGUGGGUUAGGCCUGAUUUGGUUAUGGUAUUUUGUCGGAAUACAAAAGGCUGUAAAACAAGCAAAACAAACAAAAAGAAGAUGAUAGAACUUUUAGAUCUCAAACUGUACGAUGGCAAUGCAAUAGACUUUCAGGAAAUACUUAAAACGCAAGGAUUGCCGUUCCAUUAGCACGCAUGCUGGCACAGGGAAAGCUGGCAUAACAGCACGAGGCAUGCCGCCUUGACGGCAUGGAGCGUGUCGCCAUGUUAGCAAGCUUAUCAGCACAAGCGGCACAUGACAGCUGUGCACUGGCACGGCAACCCUCAUUUUAAACGGAAAAAAUGGAAUUUGAAUUCUUACCAUAUUUUCCCCCUUCUCCUCUCAUGUCUUCCACUAUGUCCUCAUAUUCCUCAUCAUCCAUCAAUUCAUCAGCACUAACCACCUGGGUUAAGCAUACUAUUUUCGUAGGAAGGGCCCCUGCCUGGUACACAAGCCUCUGUACAAAAAUAGACUCGUCACUUUAGAUUGCAAGAAGAAAGUCAUCUUGAAAAGAUGGGAAAUCCAAUAUUUUGCAAAAGACAAGUGAUAAAAAAUAUAUAUAUGUAUAUGGUAAAUAUGCAACAAAUAGGAAAGAAAAAAGUAUACAUAGAAAAAAGAAACAAAAUUCCCAAAUGAUUACUCUCUUAGUUCUAGAUGUCCCCUAUAACAAAUAAGCAAUAUAAUAGUUAUCAAAGCAAAAAGUAAAAGCGAAAAAAAAAAAAGGUUGUAGGACUUAAUCAGGUAAAACGACAGUUGGAGUUAUGCAACCAAAUUCCAUAUUGGGUGUAAAAAACAUUUCUAAGUAACCAUCUAAAAUAAGCUGUAUAACAGGAUGAUUGGAAUGAAAUUGAUUCUCAUACCCAAACAGAAAAGUUCUCAUAACUUGAAAAUUGUCAUCGGCAAGAUCCAGUAAUUGCAAUAAUUAACAACUUGGUAAGGACAAUGCCCCAAAAUUUAGUCCCUGAACUCCUUCGCGAAAAAUACUGGCAUAUGAGAAGACAAUUAUAAUAGCGUCCUAAUAUGACAUAUCCCUGCACGAAUUAAGAACUAUACCCUUCCUUUUAAAUACGCAAAUAUACAAAUGAGAAGGCUUCUAAUAAGGAAAUUAUGAAUCAAGUAGACAUAUGACAAAAAAUACACUACAGUAACAACAAGUCGCAUCAUUCCUAAAAGUUCAAACAGUAUGAUGCUCUACUCACUAUUAUCCCAUUGGAACAAAAGGAAGGGCUGAUACAUUUUCCAUCAAUUAAAACAUGGCCGUCAAAACCAGUCUUUAGUUCCUUUUACCCUCAAACUUUCUCAACGUUAAGCAUGACUAAAAGCAAAGCACUGCUUUUUGAAUAACAAUCAGCUUACAAAUCAAUUCAUGCUUUAAAGUUAACCCAAAUAGUAACCAAAAAUCAAAUAUGUCAUCAAAUCAAUGACAAAAAGCUCCACAAAAUAACAUGAUUUCUACUAUCUUGCAGAACUUAUAGACUGAAAUUCAUUCUGAACUUUCAUGUUGACUACAAUCACUUUAAAACUGUACCUGCAAUGCUACUUGCUGCUGUGCCUGCAAUAGUACACUCUCAUGCUCCGGUCUAGGCUGUGCCGCUCCUUGGUUAGCUCGCCUAACCGUUAGGGUUUUAUCUCCCAUUUUUAUGCCAUUAAGAGCAGCACAUGCGAUAUCUGUGACAGAAAGGUCCUGGUACACGCAAAAGGCAUAGCCUUUUGAGUUACCGGUCUCCCUAUCUUUGACAAGAUCAAAUCCACGGAGAGGCCCGAAAGACUCAAGCAACUCCCUCACUUGGGCCUCCGUAAAGUAAUAAGGAAGCCCACCAACAAAGAUUCGGUCCGGGCCUUCUAAACCACCGGCAGAGCCCGGCGUGAGCCCAACUGCACCAAGAUUGAGGUUUGGAUUAGGCUGGCUUGGGCCCAGUGCAGCGGCAAGAGAAGGGUUAUAGUCACUGGGCCUUCGUACCUUCACUUGCGUGCCCUAAGAAAAUAAAUUAAUGAGUUUUUAGGGAUUAGCAGAAGCAUAAUCUUGCAAGCCCUUUACAAUUAGGGGACUCUACACAUGACUCUACAUAUGACCCCACAACUCUUAAAAUCUGAGUAUUUACCUCACGAAAGUGUAGCUUCACAUAAAAAUACCCUCAAAUUGGAAAGCAAGGAAUACCCGUGCCGCCCAAUGUCACCUGUGCCAUACUAUGCCGAGGCCGUGCCAUGCCGGCCUAUGGCACGGGAUCGUGCCGGCUCACGGCAUGGGGUACUGCCGGCACUGUAUCGACAAAAUGGAUUUCUUUUUUUACAUUUUUGGAAUCUUUUUAAGUUCUUUUCAAGGUAAAAACUUUUACAAAAGUUUUUUCAUACUUGAAAAUAUGUAGAUCUUGUAAAUCUACUAUCAUUUGGAGCAAUUAGUAAGUUCCAUUGCAUUAUAAGACCAACUUUUAGAGAGAAAAUGCAAAUAAAAAGAUACUCUCCAAUUUCUUUAUCAUUUUAGAUUUAGCGAUUUUAUUCAUGGUAGUGUUUCCCUAUAAAUUUUUAUCCAAUUAUGACUUUGGUUUUAGUAGCAUACAUAUACUUUCAUAAUAUAUACAAAAUUCCUUUCCUAUAGUUAUUAAGACGAUAAUGACUAUAUUUUUAUCCCUUCUACUUAAUUGUGUUAGAUAAAUAAACCAUUUUUAUAGCCUUUAGAGAUAUGAAAACACUAAAAAAUUAAUUAUUCAUGAAAAUUUAAUUUAAAAAAUCCAUGCCAAAGCGUGCUAAUGCAUGCCACUGGCACGGAGGAUGUGCCAACAUUGGCACGCCCCGUGCUGCUGGGACAGCAGCAGGUGCCAUGCCAAUGGCACGGCAAUCCUUGUUAAGAAGUAAACCAAUUCAUUGGAGAAGUAGGUUCUUAAUAGAACAAUUUUUUUAAAGAGAGUAUUCUCGUACAUGUAAGGUUUUUUGAAGGGCAUGAAAAUAAUUCAGAUUUUAAAUGGCUACUAUGUAUAUACAGGAUUUUACAAGGAUACAUAUGGAAUUAUUUCUACUCUUAAAGACAAUCUAAAUGCACUACAAUAAGAGAAUUUUAAAGCUCACAGACCUCAAAAAUGAUGCCAUCCAAGGCCAUUGCAUUGCUUGCUUCCUCGACAGAUCUCAUCUCCACAAAAGCAAACUUCUUUUCAUGAUUUAUGUAGACAUUAACAACAGCAUCACCUAAAAAAUAUAAAGAUGAGAAAAAGAAUAACUUUUUCCAAAAAAGAAUUUUUUUUAACAGAGAAUGUUCCAAGUGUAGAAGCAGUUAAUCAAACACUAACCUGGACCAGCAGUGUUUCCUCCAAUAGCAGACAUCACCUGGCUAAAAAAUGUUGCAACCGACUGCAGACAAGUUUGACAAAUACAUCAGCUCAAACAAGCAAGUUAAUAUUAGAAAAAAAAAAUAUUCAUCAAAGGACACAGAUGGAAAAGAAAAGGAAAAUAAAAUAAAAAAUUACGAUGAGAAAAGCAAAAGAAAGCAAGAAAAGCUAAUGUAAUGUCAAUCAUGAUUCAAAAAAGUAAAUAGUUUUGAACUUUGACAAAAAAAAAGAAACAACAAAUUCUGGAUCAGAUCAUAUUGACGUGUUCUCAAUUAAAUGUUUAGAACAUUAUCAAAGCUGCCAGCUUUAGGAAAGAAAGUAAAAUGAUAGUGAAGAAAAAGAGAAAUGCGCGUCGGUACCAACCAAAGAACAACAUUGGAAAUAAGUAUACAGAUAUACGGAAAAGAUCACGGAUAGAUGGAUAGGGGCUAUUACGAAAAAUGUGUGACGGUACCAACCAAAGAAUAACAUAGGAAAUAAGUUUACAGAUGUACGGAAAAGGUCAAGGAUAGGCGGAGAGGGAUUACUACGAAAAAAUUGUGUGACAGAUAUCCUAUUGAAGUUAAUGCGCCUUAAAACAUAGAAUAGAGAAAAUGUAAAGGUCUUGACCUAAAUUCAAGUAAAACGCUUUCCUGAAAUAUGUAUUUAACUCAACAACUUAUGACCUCUAAAUUAAAUAUGAGUAUUCAUAUAUACAUAGUCGUUAUGCCAGACAAACUUCCAACAGACCAACAUCAUUAUGCAGCCCAAAAAAAAAACUACAAACUGAAAACAGUUUGCUUCAAGAUGAUCAGCAUCAUUGAGAAGCAAACAUGAACUAAGAAGAGCUCUCCGCAUACCAUCAAUUACACAAUUAAAAAGGCAUCUAUCUGGGAAAACUAAUAUCAAGAAUUAAAGAAGUAAAUAAUUACAAAAGGCAUGUAAAUAGCAAUUAAAAUUAAAAUAAUAAAUGAAAUAUGCAGUACAAACCUGUUCAUUAGCAGUAGGAGGGAGGCCACCAACAUAUACACGUCGAGCAUGUCUAGUUGCCUGGAGUUACCAAAUUUUGGUCACAUGUGCCAUCAAUAGUGAUAAUAUGAAGUAGCUCAUACAUAUAUUACAUUCCAACAAGAUCAUAUAUUUACAUAUAUAUUCCCCAAAAAAAUCUGAACCUUCUUAUUGACCUCUCGAAAGUGCAGUUUCUAACAAAAAUAAUCUUAAUUUAUUGAGUCAGCACGAAAUUCAAUGUGGAAGCAUGUUUUCAACUACAAAAAAAGAUUUGGAGAGAGUCAAUUUUGUAAGUGCAAGGAGAUAUAUAUAUAUGUAUAUAUAUAUGUAUGUAUGUAAGAAAUUAAGUUUAUUAACAGCAAUAUGUGAGUAUUUCACAUACUGCCAGAAAAAUUAUGCAAAUAAAUAAUUUUGCAUGGCAUACAUGCAAAACUUUCUAACUUUUUGAGCAGGCGAUACCUGCUGAGUCAUAGCUUGCACCGGCAUGACAGGUAGAGUAGGAAGCUGUCAUAACAAUUGUAGAGAUUAUAAAUGAUCAGAGAAUCGUAAUGACCAGCACAGAAGUUCAAGAUAAUAUCACAUGACUUAAAGUUUGAACAAACAUGUACCUGCCCAGCUGCCAAAGGGAAAAUGUUUGGAAACACUCCAGGAAGUGCAGCAGUGCCUCCAGUUAGCUGAGCUGCAUGGGCAAACAAAAUUAAAUAGCAACAGUCAAAGCAAGACGUCUUACAUAUUCUAAAAGUUAAGGACCAACAAAAUUUUAUAACCAACACUAUUUUAGAACCUCUAAAUGUUAUUAUAUUAUAUAUGUAAUAUAUGGACGGAUGGGGCAUCUGGAUUAGAAGUGAUCAAAAAUUUAGGAAGAAAAUCAAUUUCAAGUACAGAGUAAUUGUGAUAACUGUAUGACUACCAGAAAGGAAAUAAUUAUUGGUUGAAGACGAACAAGAUAUCAAACCGAUGCAUUGAUUCCUCCUUGUACAUAAAAGCUACAGUAGUCGGCUCACGCCCAUUGGCAGCAUAGUGGGACAAGUGGCCCGACAUUGCCUUCUUACAACAACAUAUAUACAAAACAAACAAACAACCACCAAAGACAAGAAAACAACCAAAAGUUUGCUCAGUUUCGGAAUUACAUCAGUUAUAGAAAAAAUAAAAAUACAAAUCGUCCAAAUAGGGCAGAUUUAAUUCUAAUUUUGGUUAAGCUAGGAAAAAAAAAAAAGCUUACCCAAGCCACAUCGAGCAUUUUGACAUAAUUCCAUCAGUUUAGAUGGAUAACGAAAAUACUGCAAAACAGAAAAGUAGAAACUUAGAAUGCAAAAGAAGUAAUACCUGUGGCUGUCACAGCAGGCAUGAGAGCAGUCACAGGAGGUGCCAAGUCAAAUCCACUGAUUCGCUUGCUGAUUUAGAAUAGAUGAUUAGAAUCAGUCCACAAUACAAACUGAUUUCAACGAAAUGAUAGAGAACUUCAGGAUGAAAUCGAUAAGCAAAGAGCAAGCAUGUUAAUAAAACAUUGUGAGAUCACUUCUAUUCUUUUCCUAUUUGUGGUUAGUCCAAGUCUUUUAGGGUAGAGAAAAUUUGUUUGCCAGAGACAAUAGAAUGCUUGUUGAUUCACAUUGAUCACUGUCCUUAACUUCUAAGAAACCACUCAUAUACAAAAGCGCCAUUCAGCAUUGCCGUCAAUACAGCAAGUUCUCUGCCAACUUACUCAACUACUUCCACAAACAUUCAAGUGUAACAUAACAAGUUUAGUAACAAAGAGUAUAUGAAGUCGACUACCAAUUAUUUUAAAAAAGGAACAAAAAAAUUGUGUGAAAAUAAAUAUACUUAGGGAAGCGAGGCUUUGAUUUCCAGAAACUUACGAGCCUCAAACUUUUUCCUAAACAAUACCAAUCAGUGAGUAUCUGCUACUAAGGAACCUCAUUCAUUUAUAGAGCAAUCCACAAUGCCUCUUAUUUAAUAACCCCUCAUUUCAAGUAUCUGAACAGUCACAUAUAAGAAUUAACAAAACAACUCUAAUGCCAACCAAAACCACCUAAUCAUACCAAUGGUUGACAAGCUAAUAGAUUUUUUUUUCCUUUUUGAGUAUAAGAAUGGUUCCACUAUUACUUAAUACAGUAGUAGUUCGAGUUAAGUGUUUACACAAUCUUCUUCUGUUUGAAGAAAUGUUUCAUCGAAAUAAUGAGUCACCCCUUUCAUUGAUAUGCACACAUAUGAGAUCAACAAAUGCUCGGGGGUUCCUCUAUUCAAUCCUUUUCCUUCUUUUCGUUGCUAGAUAUCUCGUUCGUAUGAAUCUACACUCCGUUUCCCGAGCCUCUAGUAUGGCUCCACAUAAUACUUAAUACAGUAGCUGAAAAUCUCCACUCUAAUUUACGCAAACCUCUAAUUGAUUUACAGACUAACAAACUGGAAUAACCAAAGUAUAGGAAGAUAGAUCAUGCAAAACCAUUAAAAGAAUGAAAAAAACCUCAAACACCAUAAUAUUAGAAUUAGAAUGAUCUAAACUAGCAUCUGCAGUAGCACAGAUUCACAACAACAAUUUUAGCGUCUCAUGUGCAUCUGCAAUAAUUGUCUGAGUCCAAACCACCCUAAUGUAAAGCAUGAUUCUUCUUUGUGUGAAUUACACAAAAUCAUUCGAAGUCACAUAUCAUGUACAAGCAUAUCAAGUUAAAAAAAUUAAGUAGAAUGUUUCAUAGUUAUAACCUCUUUGAACGAGAGCGCGAGCGAGAUCGGGAUCUUGAUCUACGUUCAGAUUGACCCUUCGACCGAGACUGAGAACUAGAUCGAUGUCUGUGACGCCCUUCUCUGUCUCUAUCAUAGUCUCUGUGUCUGAAUCAUACAGAAACAUAUAAAUCAGAAAAUAGGCGAAGAAGUAUAUUCUCAUAUACUUCAAAACAAACUAAAAAAUUGUCACUUGAUUAAAGAGGAUUGAAUACGAACAAUAAAUAAACUCUCCUAAUAUUUCUUUCUGUUCUUAUUGAUGUUGACUAACAGCACUAACAGCACUCACAAAUGAUCACAGCUAACAUGAAUUGAAAUCAGUCAACUAAAAAGUAUGUGCCUAACACAAACUACUGAACUAUUUAAAUUCUGUAAGAAUAACAUUGUUAUUGAUUGUUAAGUUCCAUUCAAGCAAUUCACCCCAACAUAUGUGACUAGUGACAAGAUGGAACAAAAAUUAUAUAAGAAUCAUCACAGUGAGAUUGUGAAAUCAUCAGCCAUCCAUGUGGCGCUUGAAUCUCAAGAGGAAAUGCAGAUUUAACCUAAAUGUAGGGAUGGUCCCCGUAAAAUUUUUGUUGGAAAAAAAAAAAUGCCCCAAGAAGUCAUUGCAACAGGUCCAUAUUAAUGUAAGUUUUGUCAAGAGUCAUGUCCAUCUUGAAAAUGGAAAUUCAUUCCAAACCAUUGAGCUCUCACUUCUGCUAAGCAAACAGACAUCAGAAUCACACAGCCCGGGAGUGUUAUUAAAUAGAAAAAAGUUUCAAUUGAAGAUUGCGCUCUCAUGAUCCUAAUCCUCAAUAGGAGUAUAAACCAACAGUUUGCACAUCAUACACAAUAAUUUCUAAGACAUUUUCCCACUAUGAAAUAUAAUUUUGCAUUCUGUAUAAUAAGACACUCUGCUUGUAAAGGAAAUUUAGUAUCCUUUUCCAAAUUAUAGGUGCACAAAAAAUCCAUAUUAUGUCAUUAAGCCAUAUGAGGGGUUUUUAGUAAUAUUCAUGAACUGAGUAUUAAUCGGUUAGCACAUCCAUCGACAGAAAAGUCCAACAGCAUCAGUAAACUUAUAUACAAGCACCAAACAAGAACAUACAAGCCUAUAUAUCUACAAAACAAAAUUUAAUUUGACGGAUUAUGUAGAACGAACAUGGUAAAACAUAACAAUACAGUACAUAUGCAAACCCAAAGCAAAAAACACACAAAAUAAAAACAACAAUACACGUAUACAUACGUAGAGGAGCAUGUGAGUGUCGAUACAUACACAUCAUAGUCACAUGCAUGGCAUCAGUAACAUGACAGUAAAGCCUGUUGUUUGACUUCAUGUAUUGUUCAUGAAUUCAUUCAUAAAAACACCCUAAGAUCAUGAAAGAUAGAUUUUAACACUGAACUGGGAACACUACAGGUCAUAAUUCAUGUUUAAAUAUAUCAAAAACAAUGAUAAUACUGAAAGGAACCGACCAAAAUCGCACUUAACUUUCUAUGGUAAUAUAGCGAUUACAAUACGAAAUCGAAUUUGUACUAACAAGGUCAAUUACAUAAAGCUAAAAGCAAAAUACACUUGUAAUACCUAUCACGAUCACGGCUUCGGUGACUAUCAUGAUCAUCUGAUCUCUCCCGGCGUCUUUCACUUCUUUCCCGGUCAUCUCUGUGAUGGCGAUCUCGAUCACGCUCACGAUUGCGAUCGCGUUCCCGAUCCGUAUCCUUGUCUCUUUCCCGAUCACGAUCCCUGACCCUGUCACGAUCUUUAGCCUUCUCUCUAUCCCUGUCCCUGUCCCUGUCCCUAUCCUUCUCCUUUUCCCUUUCCCUAUCUUUCUCUCUGCUUUUCGAGGAACCUCUUUCAUGGACAUGCAAAUCAGACUGUAAAAACAUGUCAAGUUAGCGCAAUUUCACCAAAUCAGUGUGCAGAAGAAAAAAAACAAUCUAAACAAACACAACAAGCUUUUCAAUAUUAAACAACAUGACCUUCAACUACGUAGCAAUAGCUGUAGAUAAAUAUGCACAAAACAUGAUAUACAAAAUCACAAUUUUAAUAAUUAGCUUUUGCAUCAAAAAUUAGCUAGAGCAUAAAUAAAAACAUAGUUCCAGUUUCAUCACGCGUCACGUAACGACCCGACCCACCAGCAAUAAUAUCUCGUUGGGCCCAAACCACCGGCCCAAAAAUAUUUAAACCUAGUUAUUUUUAAACCCAAUUAUUACUACUAGUGUAGCCGUCACUUAUAAACCCAUCAGACUCUCCCACAUUAUCCAUGUGGAACUAUUGGGAUGUGAUAUACUCCUCUCGUUUAGGCCCCGACGUCCUCGUCAGCCCGGCCCAAUCAUAUACAUAGUCCCAGAUUAACCAACCGGAAGUGUGAAAUACUAUAUCCCGAUAUCUCACACUUCGGAUAAUGUGGGAGAGUCUGAUAAGUUUAUAAGUGACGGAUACACUAAUAAUAAUAACUGGGCUUAAACAUUUUGGGCCAGUGAUUUGGGCCCAACGAGUUAUUAUUGCUGGCGGGUCAGGUCGUUAUACGAUAGAUUGAAAAAUAUAGAUUUUCCCUGCACAAGACAUAGAAAUGAAAACAAUCUCAACAUCCAAUCAAUGUUUCUUCCAGUUAAAAGAAGUAGAUCCGGUCUCAUAACCAUAAAUUACUACGAUGCAAAUAAAACACACCAAAUAACAGUUUAUAUUGAUCACCUUUCUGCUUUAAACACAGAUAAAGCAUAAAUCAAAGAAGUAAAAUUACCAAAUACAUAGAUUUUACUAUGCUAAUGUACUGUAAAACCAGAUAUCCAAUAAUCAAAUGACAACUCUUCAAGUUAAACAAAAUUGGUCCAGUUUCAUAACCGUAAACUUUCUAGCCGAACAACCAAGCAUUUCGACUAGAUUUACCACUUCCCUAAAUCAAAAGGAAUCAAAUAACGAAAAAGAGGAAACAAUAUAAGAUCAUAAGAUAUAAAGAGGAGAAGGGAUUCAAAUAAGAAUUGGGAUCUGGAAUAGCGAAGGUCAUCAAAGCAGCUUGUUCUAACUAACCUGAACAAGGCAGAAGCAUAAUAAUAGCCCAAAAAUCUAAAAUUCUACCAGAUUUAGCACUUAUCCAAAUCAAAAGGAUACAAACAAAGAAAACACAAAGAAAAGAUCAUAAGAUAUCAAGAGGAGAGUGGAUUGACUUACGCUGUGGGAUCUAAAACCGCUUCUUCUACCUACCCUAACAAUUCAGCAGCCUGAGACUAGCCCAAAAACCCUAAAAUUUGCACCAAAUUUAACAGCUGUCCUUCGAAGCGGAAGGUGUUAAACAAAGAAAUCAGGAAAAAAGAUCAGAUGAUAAAAGAUCAAAAGGAACGGGGAUUCAAAUACGACCUGUGAUCUGGAAUAGCCGAAAUCAUCAUAGCCACUUCUCCUACGUAACCCUAAAACCCGGAACCUAGUACUAACCCAAAACCCUAAUUUCCACCAUAUCCAACAUUUCUCCUCCAAAUCCAGAGGGAUCAAAACAAAGAAAACAGGAAACAAGAUGAGAUCGCAAGAGAUCAAGAGAACGAGGGAUUCAAAUUCGACCUGAGAUCGGGAGUAGCCGAAAUCAUCGAAUCCGCUCGUCUUCGCCGGCGGGGAAGCCCCGCCGCCGCCGUACUCGGCGUAGCCAUCGCCGUUGCCCUCGUACCUCUCCCCGUACUCCGUCAUCUUCACUCUCUCUUUCUCUUUCUCCCUCUCUCCCUCUCCCUCUCCCUCUCUUGAUUGGAUCGAUGGUUUUCGAUUCUAGGGCAUCGAACGAGCAUUUAUAGCGUGGCCCCGAGUAGUCGGGGCACGGUUCGGUUAAAGGCGGUUUUUGGGGUACAAACACCUGAACCGAACCGGAUCCUGCGGCUUUUUGGGAAAAUAUGAACCGGAAACGAACUUGAGACGAUCCAUAAAUUGAAUCGAACCGAACCGGAGCGGUGGAUUGCAUCGCUUCACGUUCUUAUACGUUGUAAGAGGAAAAGCAUUCUAUAAUAAGCUCUAUGAGAGGAGUAGAAAGUGCAUUUGCAAUUUAAUAUUGUGCUUUUUUAUAUGAAUAAUGUAACUGAGAAAAAAAAAAAUUAUGCAUGAUACACCAUAAGUUAGAAACCUAGUUAUUUUAUAUUUUCAGUUAAGUUUAUUUUUUAAAAAAAAAUAUGAAUAAAGUGGAUAGCAUGUAUGCUAAGGGCUGGCAAAUUAGCAAGCCGGCUCAUGUUUUGCUUGGUAUUGAGCUCGCUCAAGCUCGACUCGAAAUUAAAAGAGCUGAGACCGACUGUUCCUAGCGCAAGUGGCAAAAGAGGUUUGGUGAUUGGUAUUCGAGAUCCAUAUUCGAAUUCUAGUUGAUUCACAUUUCUAGCUAAAUUUAUUUCUAAAUGAAAUAAACAACGCAGGUAGCAUGCUACAUUUCUUUCAAAAAUAAAAAUUAAAAUUAAAAGAGCUGAGCUUGAAUAGAAAAAAAAAACUUGAAAUUUAUUUCAAGCCGAGCUUGAAAAUUACUGGACUUAUUCGAAUUGAGCUUGAAUAAUUAUAUAUAUAUAUAUAGAAUUUAUAUAUAUAUAUAUAUAAAUUAUAUAUAUAUAUAUAAAUUAACCCUAGAAUGUGGGCCCCUAGGGUUAAGUGAGUGGUUGGUUGAAUAGUAUAAUCUAACGAGUACAAAUAAUCAGAAGGUUAAAUUUAACGGUGGAAAACUCGAUAGCACCAAAUUCUUGGUACUAUCGAUAGUAUCCCAGCGGAUUUUAACUAUAUAUAUUAUUAUAUAUAUAUAUUAAUAUAUAUAUUUAUAGAGUCCGGCCUGUGGUAUUAUCGAUGGAGUACAAGAAUUAGUCUAUCGAGUUUUCACCGUUAGAUUUACAAUCAAUUAUUUUUCGUACGACUUACUAUUCAACCACCACUCACUUAACCCUAGAGGCCCACACUACAUCCUAACACCCAUCUACUCAAUAUAAGGGCUAAAAAUGCAAUACAAAUAGCUUUGGUGCUAUUGUGAAAAAAACUAUUCCCGUCUAAUUCUAUAUAUAUAUAUAUAUAUAUAUAUAUAUAUCUAUAAACCUAUAUGAAACCUUAAUAUCUUUUGCCACGUGGCAACCUAUGCUUCAUUCUCAUUACCUCUCCUUAAACCAAAUCCUUUAUUCUAUAAAGUAAUUAGCAACUUAAACAAAUAAAAAUCUCUAAAUUAAUGCACAUUUAAUUUGACCGUUUUUCUUUCUAGAAGAGCUUCAUUCUCGUAACCUCUCCUUAAACCAAACCCUUUAUUCUCAUAAUAAUCCAACGUUUUCAUAUAUAUAAAGUAAUUAGUAACUGAAAGUAAUUAGUGCUUUAUGCUCUUCUUUAAACAAAUAAAAAUCUCUAAAUUAAUGCAUAUUUAAUUUGACCGUUUUUCUUUCUAGGAGUAGAGUAUUUAAAUAAAGUUUCCAAUAGAAAUUAAAUGUGAGAAUUAAAUCCCCCAUUUACUCUUUUCUAUAUUAUCUCUUAUUUUGCAUAGAUAACGGUUACAAAAAUUUUUAAUUAUAAGUGCACUAUAAAUAUCCACUAGAGUAGAAUAAAAAAUUUGUCAAAUUUUUGGUCAAUAAUACUUUUUUUUUUCUUGCUUUCCCAACAUAGUAGAUUACCUUAUUCAUUUGAUAGAGAAUAAGAUAAUCAAUUAAAGACUUAAGUGUAAGUUAACCAAUUUUUUUUUCUUUAUUUUUUUUCUUUUUUUUCCUUCAGGAAGCAAAGAUCAUAUUAAUUUUUAAUAUACUAUACCACAAAGAUUUGAUAUGUUCAUCUAUAGAUAAUUUAUUAUCACCUAUAUAUGAUAUAGCCUAUACUUUAUAUAGGCGAAAAAUAAUCUCCGGUAUUAUAUUUGAUACAUUUAAAUUUCACAUACCUUCUGCAAUUCUUUUAGUUUGAUUUUGUCAUCAUUUUUCUAUUAAUUUGCAUAUUUUUAGAUUUUUUUGUGUGUUUUUAUAUUUACUAUGUUUUUAAAUAUUAUUUUGUUACUAUUUUUUAAAGCUAGUUUUAUUUUUUGUAAGAAAAAUGAAAUAAAAAUAACACAACUAUCAAAUCGAUUUUUUUUGUGUGUUUUUAUAUUUAUUGAGAUUUUAAUUUUUUGAUUUAUUUAAAAUAUCAAGAUGUUAAAAUUGUUAAGCUUUUUCAAAAUCGAUUUGAUAGUUGUGUUAUUUUUAUUUCAUUUUUCUUACAAAAAAUAAAACUAGCUUUAAAAAAUAGUAACAAAAUAAUAUUUAUCACCGUAGUAAAUAUAAAUUUUUAUUUGUUAAUAUAUAAUAAAAAUUAUUUGUGAAAUUUCUUGCAUCGUACUGAUUUACUUACUAUCUAAUAUUAUGUUUUUUUUUUAAAUUUGGAAAAAAAUAUAUACUGACUCUAUAUUAAAGGAGAGUUCCAUCAUAUCUCCGUGUCCUCUCCAUUCUCCUAUAUUCACUUCAAGAAAAAUUGAAAACAUCUUGUCUACAAUAAUAUAACAUGCACCAAAUUUUUUUCUUAAUUUGAAAUUAAAAUAUAAUUUAGCAUAUAUAAUCUACAUGAUAUAAAGAGAUAAUCAGUUUAUGUACCAAAUAUUAUAGAGUUUAAAUUUAAAAAAUAGUGAUAUAUCAAUAUGGUGUUUAAGAAAUAAUAUACACCCGGAGCAUGGAAUGAUUCUCCUCCCAACCCAUUCCUCAUGUAUAAAUAAGUUGCCUACACCCUGUCUAUAAAUAUUACAUAUACCAACCCUAAUUUUGAAUAAUUAAUACUAUAAAAUUAAAAUAUAAUUUCAAUGCGAUCUAUACUCUAUUGGAAGCCUCCAUAUAAAAAAUUAGUUAUUACAGUUUAAAUUUUUAUAUCAGCUUUUUUAAAAUAAAGUACAUAAAAUUUACUUAUACACCCGGUGUAACAAAUAGUAUCAUUUCCUUUAAUAUAGGUAAAAAAAUAUAGAUACCCUAUUUAAUUAUAAUUUCUAAUUUUUUAAUUUUAAUUUUUAUACUUAGUUAAAUUAAAAUGAUCAAAGAUAAUUAUUAAAAUUAUUAAAUCCGGUGAACCUAUUAAUAAAUUUAAUUAAUUUAUAAAAUUUUUGAUAAAAUUAUUUUAGUCAAAAUAUUAAAAGUUUAGAAAGUCUUAUACAACUAUUAAACACUUUGAAAUAGACAACUUAAAAUUAUUUUUUAAUUAUGAUUAAUUAUAUUAAUUAAACAAAAUAUUUAUUAAAAUUUGUAUAAAUUAACAUUUUUAAAGUUACUGAAAUACUACAAAUUAUUUAUUAAAAUUUAUAUAAAUUAAAAUAUUUAAAUUUGCUAAAAUAUUAUCUACCCGCCGCGAAGCGCGGGCCUGGCCUACACUAGUAUAUAUAUUAAUUAGUGUAGAGAUAUUAUACUAUCAAAUGUAUAAGAAAAUUGGUACUUUUAAUUUUUUGGUCUUUGUAGGAAUUACAACAUUCUAACGAGGAUUGUAAUUCCUCUCUUUGAAAUUUAAUUUUUUUAAAAAAAGAAUAGUAUUAAAAAAGUAAAAAAUUGAGAAGAGUAGUGAAGUUGGGGAUUGGACGAUGAGAUUGUAAAAUUAUCAUCCCCAUUUGGAUUGUAGGGCUUGUGUUGUUGCAAAAAAAAAAAAUAUUGUAGGAUGAUCCCCUCAACGAUUUGCCGUUUUGAACUGCCUCUUCAAUUUUAACCUUUUGGUAUUAGACUUCUUUAAUGUUUAAUUUUUUAAAAAUAAUUUUAAUGUAAUAGAUUAAAAAUAUAAUAAAAUUUUUUUCUAGAUUUAAUAAUAAUCUUAAUUAUUUAUUAAGAACUAAAGCUAAGAUAAUUGAUAGCUAAUAUUCUAGAAUUUAACAAAAUUUUUUAUUACAGUCAAAUCAAAGUAUCGGAUUCCUACGGAGAUAAUUGAAAGUUCCAAUUGAAAAUAAUUCUUUUGACCAGAGAAUUUAGAACUUGGGGGUUUAUUUUCGAUCCAUCGAAACUUAUUUUAUAGAUCCGAGGAAAUUAAUCUAAUACCUACCUAAAAUUUAUCGAAUAUUUAUUUUAGUAUUCUUUAAUUUAAAUUUUUACAGGGUACGACAGUAAUACACUUUAAAUCAUAGAAUACUAAAGUAAAAAAGUACAAAAUCACAGAGAUAGUAUUUGUUAUUUUUGUUUGCUCCAGCUUUUCGUCACCUAAUAACAUUAGAGGUAAAUUGCUUAUAUACCGCUAAAAGUUUCGGACUUUCUUGUUUAUUCCGUUUAAAAGGUUAAAAAAAAAAUUCUUUUAACGUUUCAAGUUCUUUCAAAUAUAUUUUUAGAGUUAAAUUCUGUUAGUGCACUAUUUUGCCCUUUCAAAUAUAUCCUUCUAGAUACUAAUUUUUCUUAUUUACCCUUAAGUUAGGGGCAAAAGAAGUUUUGUCUUUUUGCACUUUCAGAUAUACUCUUCUACCGCUACGAACUUUUUUUUAUUUACCCUUAAAUUAGGGGGAAGUAAAAUAUUUUGACUUAUUUUUAACUCUAGUAGAAAUUUAAUCCGAAUUUAAUCCGAGUAACUUAACAGGUACUAACAGCAGAGUAAUUUUUGAAUAAUGGAGAAAUAUACGAGAAAAAUAUUUGAAAUAAAAAAAUAAAAAUAUAUAAAAUAUUUCAGAAGUGUUGAAGGGUAUAUAUAUAGAUAAUUAUCCCUAAAUAUUAAACACCCCUCAAUGCCAAACCAGCUCUAAAGCAUUCCUCCACAAUACCAAAAAAUAUACUCUUUACAGAGAUCCACUGUUUUACACUUCAGCCCAAGUCCUUCAGGUUAAAGCAAAGUUAAAGCAAAUUGGACCUGACACCAAGUUGGGCCAUAAACCUAAAGUGUGGUGUAAAAUUGGAUGUGAACCCACCACUAUUAAAGAACACAACAAAAGGGGUGAUAAAAACAAAAAGGAUGACACAAACAUAGAGGACUUUGUAGUUCCCCUCUCUGGUCCCAGCUAUUGGACCAUUUGAUAGGUAAUUUUCCUUUCCAAUUGCAUUCACAUUGGCUCUAAGGUUGGAACUUAGACUUUGUCUAUGAGGUCCCAAGGAUGAGAUUACUAUCUUUAAAAUACUAUAAUUUUUUUGAGAUCAUAAUUGAAUGUCGGAAUUAGUUAUGCAGUAAUGAUUUUAAAUAUAUUUUUUUUGUUUAGUAGUCAUACACUUAUACCCGCGAACCUCUCUUCUUUCUUAGAUUUCAUAAUUUUAAACGCGCAUGUGAGGGAUCGAACCUCCCGAUCUAUCUCUUAAUAGGCAAUACGAAGUACCAGCCAACUAGGCUAAAAAUGGUAGUUACUUUAUUUUCAUUCAACUUAAAGAGUCCUUUUGUAGAACACUUUAAUCCGUGUGAGGUUGGACCUAUAUAAGUCACGCACAUCUUCUCUCCACAGCAUAGUGAAUCAAACUGGCCCUACGAGAUCGUUUAUUUUUACUGAUUUAGAGCAAUUUAGAUUGUAUAUUUCACGCUUGUAGUGUGAAUUUGGUAUAAAUUUAAUACAAACUUAUCUACCAUUUCAGUUGAAAGCGUGCUAAAAAAAUUUAUAUAUAUAUGACAAAACUCAUGGUACUGUAACAGACCCUACUAGUUGGGAGUUUAGGAUAAUUCGUCCACUUCAACAACCUCUCUUACAACUUAAAAGUUGUUUGGCAACGAUUUGAAUAAUCUUAAACAGAAAAUACGAAGAAUUUUUCAAAAUAUUAGAAAUUAUUAAACCGACAGCACUUAUAUAAAUAUUGAAUACAAAAAUCGUAUCAUCACUUUUUAAGAGAUAUUUAUUUUCAGGCGUUUAAUUUUAUGUUCAUUUGAUGCACAAAAAAAUAACAUUGAAAACGUAUAAAAUUUAGUUUUUACAUAACUUAGAUGAUCGAGAUCACAUUCAACGGUACCAAUCGUCAGUUUACAAAUUCUGUCAUUUGAAAAUAAAUCGACAGUAAACAUAAUCGCUUAAACUCUUUUAGUAUUUUGUGGUCUCCGUCUGUUAUUUCUUUUGUUCAUGAAAUUGCUACCAGCCAAACCAUCUUGUUGACUCAGAAAGACUGCAUGGCCUUUAAUUGUCUGGCUGAGAGCUGGCCUAUCUAAAUGUGUGCUUCUUCAGCGUGCGGAUGCUGGAAGCCACGUACGCCAUCUUGAUUUCAAAGUCAUGGUUGCGUCUCAUUCCAGAUUUCUGGACUCUACGGAUCACAGUUUCUUUCAAGUAAACCCAGAUCGCUCUCCGAAUUUGUGCGUUGGUGAUCUAAACAAAUUUAAGACAGUUCCACACCAGAGUUACUCGCAUCCGUCCCGACGAAAAUUCAUUGAGUUUCUUACAAUAACUUUUUUUUUAGAAAUAGACAGCACGCUAACCACUUCGUUUAUUUCAUUUAAAAAUAAACUUAGCUGAAAAUGUGAAUCAAUUAGGAAUCAAACUUGGGUCUCGGAUACCAACCAUCAAACCCUUUGCCACUUGCUCUAGGAACGGUCGGUGAGUUCCUUUCAAUAAUUAAAAAUGCAGUACGGUUGAAGACGCAAUAGUUGAAACUAUAUAUGUAUAUCUAGUUGGAUUUAAUGCAGACUGUAAAUAAUUUAUUUGGUUGCAUGUAGUUAAAAAAAGCAUUCAUAAAAUAAUUUUAUUAUUUUAUGUAUUCGGGGAUGAGAUUACAUUCUAUGUAGAAAAUAAAAUAUUUUUUUGCUUAAAAAGUGAUUAAGGAGGUAAGAUUAUAUUUUGUUUAAAAUUAUUUUUUUAACUGUUGCAGUUAAAACUGUAGUCAAUUUGAAUGUAGUUUUAACCGCUACAGUACCUACCUCAAACAGUUCUAGCUACAGCAGUUAAAUUCAAACAUAUCAAGUCAAACACCGAAUUGAAUUUGAAUGUACUAACAACUGUAGUACAGUUGUAAGUAUAU